This 253-nucleotide ribosomal RNA is filed under the name uncultured bacterium. RNAcentral describes it as "partial 16S ribosomal RNA". It matches the Rfam family "Bacterial small subunit ribosomal RNA", at positions 524 to 776 of the family's 1533-position model. The record is from RNAcentral.
UACGUAGGGACCAAGCGUUGUUCGGAUUUACUGGGCGUAAAGGGCGCGUAGGCGGCGCGACAAGUCACUUGUGAAAUCUCUGGGCUUAACUCAGAACGGCCAAGUGAAACUGGUGUGCUAGAGUGCAGAAGGGGCAAUCGGAAUUCUCGGUGUAGCGGUGAAAUGCGUAGAUAUCGAGAGGAACACCAGAGGUGAAGACGGGUUGCUGGGCUGACACUGACGCUGAGGCGCGAAAGCCAGGGGAGCAAACGGG